CAAGAGAAAUUUACAAAUACGAAAAUCGAAGAACCCCACAUGGGAAUGAAGUUUGGUUAUGAAGAAGAUGCAUGUGAAUAUUACAGGGCAUUUGCAUUGGCGCAAGGGUUUGGCUCCCUCAAUCAAGGUUAAAUGACACUAUGGUAGCUAUAUAUGGGACCUAUGAAGACAUGGAACAUAUAUAGUAAUGAUAAUGAAUCAAGAAGUACAGAAGGAAAUCACCUUUUGAAUUCCAAUAUGUUAUAUUGUGUUGUUUGAUAUUCUAGUUUGAUUGAGAAACACAACUUCACUAUUCAAGAAGAAGCUAAGAAAAGCCAGAAGUAGAAGUACAACAAUUAAGCCAUGUGACCAUCAUGGAGGGAGGAGACUGAUGUGGUUUUUUUUAUGACAUGAUAAUUUGAACUUGGAGUUGUAUUUGUGUUGCAUUUGUACCUAUGAAAUAUUUUGUUUCAUUGCAAAUUAUAUUAAGUGCUAACCACUAGAAAAAAAUU
Amborella trichopoda is the source of this 491-nucleotide non-coding RNA. NCBI's taxonomy places the organism in Eukaryota, Viridiplantae, Streptophyta, Magnoliopsida, Amborellales, Amborellaceae. The record is from RefSeq and is a predicted model, not a curated record.